AUGGUGCCACGAAGAAACUUCAUGGAAAAUGGGGGAAAAAGCAACGAAGUAGGGCCAAAACAAAUCGUUUUUUCUGCAAUAUUGCUCUGUUUUUUGUUUUAUUUGAUCAGCUCUUUUGUUUGUAUAUACCUGUAGUCGACGCUUGGUUGUUAUCGCAGUGUUUAACUGUCAGUGUUGGACUGUGAGUGAUGCUAACAAAAUUGAAAGAGGGAGAGAGCUUUUUUUUCCCCUUGUUUGUCAUAGAUUGAUCGUACACAUAUGGAGAAUUUGUUGUGUGAAAAAGGUGAAAUGAUCGAACAGACUUUGCUAUUAGAUGAUUCUGAAACUCAAAAGGGUGGAUUCAGAACUUUACCUUUCGUACUUGGAAAUGCGGCUUUGACGAAUGCGGCGACGUCUGCUCUAACUCCUAAUAUGAUCCUGUAUUUGAUGAAUGAAUAUCACAUGGAUAUGACUACUGGGUCCAAUAUUAUCUACAUGUGGUCAGCAGUUACCAACAUCGCUCCAGUUGUUGGGGCAUUUAUGGCGGAUUCUUUUGUGGGUCGGUUCCAGAUGAUAGGAUUGGGAUCUGUUGUCACCCUUGUGGGGAUGUUUCUGUUUUGGCUGACAUCAGUGAUUCCGCAAGCAAGGCCCCCGCCCUGUGUCAAUUCCAACAACAUUUGCAGAUCAGCAGAGAUGUUCCAACUCUUCUUCCUGUGUUUCUCUUUGGGCAUCGUUGCCAUUGGAGCAGGUGCAGUCAAAUCCUCAUCUUUAGCAUUUGGUUCUGAUCAGUUGAAACGGGAAGUAUAUCAAGAUAAUGCGCGUUUAAUGGAGAGAUACUUCGGCUGGUACUAUGCCUCGUAUGCUUUGUCUAUCCUGGUUGCUCUCACGUGUCUUGUUUAUAUCCAAGUCAACAUGGGGUGGGCUUUAGGUUUUGGAGCUCCUGUUUUGCUAAUGUUGUUUUCAACUCUUCUAAUUUAUUUGGGUACUCCAUUCUACGUUAAGCUGAAGCCUAAAUCGAGCUUAAUCACUGGCCUUUUUCAAGUGAUUGUAGCCUCUUAUAGAAAUAGAUGUCUCAAAUUGUCGUCACAGAGUGAAGAUAUACAAUAUCAUCAGAAAAAAGGGUCAACCGUAGUUCUUCCAAGUGAAAAACUAAGGUUUUUGAAUAAAGCUUGCAUUGUACAAGAUCCUCAACUAGAUUUGAGCCCAGAUGGAGAAGCGACAGAUCCUUGGCGGCUUUGCACUGUAGAUCAAGUAGAGGAGCUGAAAGCAUUGCUCAAAGUUGUUCCAAUCUGGUUGACGGGAGUUAUAUUGUCCAUAAACAUAAGCCAGAACACUUUUCCUGUACUUCAAGCGAAUACCAUGGAUCGACAUAUUGGUUCAAGCUUUGAAAUCCCAGCUGCCUCCUUUGGCAUAUUUGCUGUCAUCUCUGCUAUACUUUGGAUUGUCCUCUAUGAUUAUCUGAUUCUUCCCAUUGCAUCAAAAAUGACUGGAAAGCCUGCUCAUUUCAGCACAAAAGAGAGAAUGGGGUUCGGGUUGUUUUUUUCCUUCCUGUCAGUUUUAGUGGUUGCAGUUGUAGAAGGUGUACGGAGAAGUAUCGCAAUCAAGGAGGGAUACUUGGAUGAUCCAGAAGGUGUGAUCCCAAUGUCAGCUAUGUGGCUACUUCCCCAGAAUUCCCUUACUGGCUUCGCAGAGGCCCUGCAUGCCAUCGGCCAAAACGAAUUCUACAUUUCAGAAUUUCCUAGAAGCAUGUCUAGUGUAGCUGCUUCUCUAUUAGGAGUUGGUAUGGGAGUUGGAAGCUUACUAGCUAGCUCUAUAAUGAGUACUAUCGACGACUUGACUAAAAGAGGAGGGGAAGAAAGUUGGAUAUCGAGCAAUAUAAACAAGGGCCAUUACGACUACUAUUAUCUCGUUCUUGCAGGAUUUAGUCUGGUUAACGUACUGUACUAUAUUGUCUGUAGUAAAGCUUAUGGUCCAUGCAAAGAAGAGGUGAUGGAAGAAGAGAAGCCAUGAAUGGGUACAAGAACUUGUAUAUCGUAGCUCAAAACGCUCCAAUAUAUUAAUCCAUAUAGUGUCAUGCCUAUUUCCUCAUAGCUUGUUAGUAGUAAUAUAUAUACUUUUCGGUUGAUCCAAUCCGUACAUAGCAAGAACUUAGUGCAUCGUUCCGUUCUUUUUAACUUUUUUUUUUAUAUAUACUUUUCAGCUGAGCAUGACUGAUGCUAUUGUAGGUAUCAAAUGAAGUUGUAAUCACUAAAUUUUGUGGGGAGAAGAUAGUUUUAGCUUGGUGUAAAUAACUUUAUAUACUUGAAGAAGUAUAUUUUUGUGUA
Solanum stenotomum is the source of this 2303-nucleotide RNA transcript. It is a transcript of the gene named protein NRT1/ PTR FAMILY 1.2-like, with no coding region annotated. NCBI's taxonomy places the organism in Eukaryota, Viridiplantae, Streptophyta, Magnoliopsida, Solanales, Solanaceae. The transcript is spliced from 4 exons. The record is from RefSeq and is a predicted model, not a curated record.